UACGAACCACACGAACGUUAUUCGGAAUUACUGGGCUUAAAGGGUGCGUAGGCGGCGCGGUAAGUCGGGUGUGAAAUCCCUCGGCUCAACCGAGGAACUGCGCUCUAAACUACCGUGCUCGAGGGAGGUAGAGGUGAGCGGAACUUAGGGUGGAGCGGUGAAAUGCGUUGAUAUCCUAAGGAACACCGGUGGCGAAAGCGGCUCACUGGAUCUCUUCUGACGCUGAUGCACGAAAGCUAGGGUAGCGAACGGG
RNAcentral lists this ribosomal RNA (253 nucleotides) under uncultured bacterium. RNAcentral describes it as "partial 16S ribosomal RNA". It matches the Rfam family "Bacterial small subunit ribosomal RNA", at positions 524 to 776 of the family's 1533-position model. The record is from RNAcentral.